RNAcentral lists this ribosomal RNA (465 nucleotides) under uncultured bacterium. RNAcentral describes it as "partial 16S ribosomal RNA". It matches the Rfam family "Bacterial small subunit ribosomal RNA", at positions 28 to 507 of the family's 1533-position model. The record is from RNAcentral.
GACGAACGCUGGCGGCGUGCUUAACACAUGCAAGUCGUACGGUAAGGCCCUUUCGGGGGUACACGAGUGGCGCACGGGUGAGUAACACGUGAGUAACCUGCCCACAACUUUGGGAUAACGCUAGGAAGCUGGUGCUAAUACUGGAUAUGUGCUCCUGCUGCAUGGUGGGGGUUGGAAAGCUCCGGCGGUUGUGGAUGGACUCGCGGCCUAUCAGCUUGUUGGUGGGGUAGUGGCCUACCAAGGCGGCGACGGGUAGCCGGCCUGAGAGGGUGACCGGCCACAUUGGGACUGAGAUACGGCCCAGACUCCUACGGGAGGCAGCAGUGGGGAAUAUUGCACAAUGGGCGCAAGCCGGAUGCAGCAACGCCGCGUGCGGGAUGACGGCCUUCGGGUUGUAAACCGCUUUCAGCAGGGACGAAGCUUUUUGUGACGGUACCUGCAGAAGAAGCACCGGCUAACUACGUG